GUGCUCUCUACCAUUGUCAUA
RNAcentral lists this microRNA (21 nucleotides) under Citrus sinensis (sweet orange). RNAcentral's name for it is "csi-miR535b-3p". Its record names the gene csi-miR535b-3p. Lineage: Eukaryota; Viridiplantae; Streptophyta; Magnoliopsida; Sapindales; Rutaceae. The record is from miRBase by way of RNAcentral.